Molecule: ribosomal RNA, 426 nt
Filed under: uncultured eukaryote
Lineage: Eukaryota
Description: bacterial SSU rRNA
Rfam family: Eukaryotic small subunit ribosomal RNA
Source: RNAcentral
ACGGUAAGGAUUGACGGACUGAAGGCUCUUUCUCGAUUCCGUGGAAAGUGGUGCAUGGCCGUUUUUGGUUGGUGGAUCGAUCCGUCUGGUUAAUUCCGUUAACGAACGAGACCUCGGCACUCCGAAUAGCGCGGCGGACGUCGCGGCCUCCGGGCCGUCUUCCGCACGAGCUUCUUAGAGGGACCGUCCCCCGCCGGGGAAGGAGGUGCGAGGCAACGACAGGUCUGUGAUGCCCUUAGAUGUUCUGGGCCGCACGCGCAUUACACUGACGCGUCCAACGGGUGACUCCGACCCGAAGGGGCCGGGGAAUCCGCAAGGCGCGUCGUGAUGGGGAUUGAACGUUGCAAUUGUUGUUCACGAACGAGGAAUUCCUAGUAGGCGCGGGGUCAUCAACCCGCGCCGAUUACGUCCCUGCCCUUUGUACAC